RNAcentral lists this ribosomal RNA (468 nucleotides) under uncultured bacterium. RNAcentral describes it as "partial 16S ribosomal RNA". It matches the Rfam family "Bacterial small subunit ribosomal RNA", at positions 28 to 507 of the family's 1533-position model. The record is from RNAcentral.
GACGAACGCUGGCGGCGUGCUUAACACAUGCAAGUCGAACGGAAAGGCCCUGCUUUUGUGGGGUGCUCGAGUGGCGAACGGGUGAGUAACACGUGAGUAACCUGCCCUUGACUUUGGGAUAACUUCAGGAAACUGGGGCUAAUACCGGCUAGGAGCUCCUGCUGCAUGGUGGGGGUUGGAAAGUUUCGGCGGUUGGGGAUGGACUCGCGGCUUAUCAGCUUGUUGGUGGGGUAGUGGCUUACCAAGGCUUUGACGGGUAGCCGGCCUGGGAGGGUGACCGGCCACAUGGGGACUGAGGUACGGCCCAGACUGCUACGGGAGGCAGCAGUGGGGAAUAUCGCACAAUGGGCGGAAGCCUGAUGCAGCAACGCCGCGUGCGGGAUGACGGCCUUCGGGUUGUAAACCGCUUUCGCCUGUGACGAAGCGUGAGUGACGGUAAUGGGUAAAGAAGCACCGGCUAACUACGUG